RNAcentral lists this ribosomal RNA (478 nucleotides) under uncultured bacterium. RNAcentral's name for it is "partial 16S ribosomal RNA". It matches the Rfam family "Bacterial small subunit ribosomal RNA", at positions 28 to 523 of the family's 1533-position model. The record is from RNAcentral.
GACGAACGCUGGCGGCGUGCUUAACACAUGCAAGUCGAACGGUAAGGCCCUUCGGGGUACACGAGUGGCGAACGGGUGAGGAACACGUGGGUGAUCUGCCCUGCACUUCGGGAUAAGCCUGGGAAACUGGGUCUAAUACCGGAUAGGACUCCUGGCUUCAUGGUUGGGGGUGGAAAGCUUUUGCGGUGUGGGAUAGGCCCGCGGCCUAUCAGCUUGUUGGUGGGGUAUUGGCCUACCAAGGCGACGACGGGUAGCCGGCCUGAGAGGGUGACCGUUAACACUGGGAGUGAGGUACGGCCCAGACUCCUACGGGAGGCAACAGUGGGGAAUAUUGCACAAUGGGCGCAAGCCUGAUGCAGCGACGCCGCGUGAGGGAUGACGGCCUUCGUGUUGUAAACCUCUUUCAGCUAUGACGACGCGCAAGUGACGGUAUGUGCAGAAGAAGGACCGGCAAACUACGUGCCAGCCGCCGCGGUAA